This 4932-nucleotide long non-coding RNA is filed under the name Sus scrofa (pig). Its description in RNAcentral is "lncRNA (ENSSSCG00035054804.1, ENSSSCG00065006092.1, ENSSSCG00105018595.1)". The record is from RNAcentral. Lineage: Eukaryota; Metazoa; Chordata; Mammalia; Artiodactyla; Suidae.
AAUGAAAAUUUAAACCUAAUUGAAAUCAUGUGCUCAGUCUUCUAUGUGGUUUUUUGGUCAGUCAUCAAUGAUCAGCAUGAUUUCACUUUUUCACGUCUUCCUCUGAAGAAGUAUGAUGGGAGAAAUAAAAGCCAGAAAGAAAGAAAGGAAGAAAGGAAGAGAGAGAGAAAGGGGUGGAGGAGGGAAAAAAGCAAAGAGCUGUUAAUUGGCAAGAAACUGGAAAGUCCUACAAGAAAGGCUGUAGGUAAUUUUGGGAACAAAUCAGCUUGAGUGAUGCCCAGACCAGGAAGAUAGAAAAAGAUCAAGGUGACCCAGUGGCGCAAGGAUUUAGGGUCAUCAUAUUACAGAGUUUUGUCCAAAGAACAGCUGGUUUUGAUCUACUGAUCACACCAUCCCUUGAAUCCCGAUGUGUGUCCACUGGGUCUGGUAGGAAACAGAUUUGUUUAACAGUCUCCAUCCUGAAUUCAAAUCCUUAUCCCACCCAUCUGCUCAAGCUUUGUAACUGGGUCAAGCUAAGCAGGCAUGUCUCCUUCUUGAGGAUGAGUUGUGUCCUAGUACCCUACUUGGCACCUCCCACAAAUGCACUUCUUUUUGGUGGGGGGGGCUUCAGUGAACAAAAUCUGAUGCCCAGACUUGCAUGAACCCCAGGACUAGACAUGGCACAGGCUCAGCUGAAGAAUCUUACCUCUGCCUCUCCUUCCCAGCUUCCUGCCAACAGGAGAAUUUAGCUGGUUUCACCUUUAAGUAUCUAGUCCUCCUUUCCUCUUGAGCAUUUUUAUCUUGAAAGUCAAGAUUUUUGGUUCAAGUCUACUGGCCCAAGAGAAGGGUUCUCUGCUUGAUUUACAGUAGGUGAUAAUGAGUAGUAAACAAAGCACUCAGCUGUGAAGUCACCAUUCGCUUAUGCCAGGUAUAGCUGAGCUGGCAGCCCCAUCUCCACAACUGUGAGAAAUAAAGUUCUGUGUUGAUAAGCCACCCAAUCUCUGGCAUUUGGCUCUAAAGAACCAAGAGAGCUGGAGAGCAUAUUUGGUCCAGUUUCCUUUCCUGCUUCUCUGGAUCUGAGGAUCAUUUCCAAGAAUAUCCAAAUGUGGAACAUCUCUCCCUUUGGGGGCUUCCAACUUCCCAGAUGCCCGGUUUUCUUUUGACCCCUUUCUCACUGAGCUUUUGUUUGUUUGGCUGUACUUGUGGUAUAUGGAAAUUCAUCUUCCAGUCACUGAAUCCAAGCUGCAGCUGCAACCUACUGUGCAGCUGCAGCAGCGCCAGAUCCUUUAACCCACUGCUUCAGGCCAGGGAUCAAACCUGUGCCUCUGCAGUGGCCCAAGCCACUCCAGUCAGGUUCCCACCCCACGGCACCACAGUGGGAACUCCCCACUGUGGGUUUUUUAUUGAAUGCAUUUACCUCGCCUUCCCAGAACACAGGGGGAAGGCCCUGCAUUUCCACCAACACAAAUGUUGCUGAUGGCUUGUAUCUCGGUUUUAUUUCUUACUCUCCCACUUCAUAAAAGACUAGGAAAGCACUCGCCCAAAUGUUUGCACAUCAUUUCAAUAUUCAUUUCCAUUAAUUUAUUCAUAGCUGUAAAGUUUACUACCUAGAAUAUUGAGUCAUAAGAUUUGAGAGACGGAAGACACAGGAGAGGAGAGGUUAUCUCGUCCCAACUCCUCGUUUUACAGAUGAGGAGACUGAGGUGAGAGGGCUCGGGCAGCUCUCCAAGGUCAAAUUGGAAUGGUGACAAAGGGGAGGUCCCAGGGCAGGUCUCUGCUGUCUGGCCUCUGUUCAUUGCAGCUCUGCAGAGCUGAAAACCAUCUUGCUCUCUGCUGGCACAGAAAGCCUCUUUCUUGUUCAUUUCUUGUGCCUUCAUUAUCUAGAAAGUUUGUGUUAAGGGCCAGCCCAGAGCUCAGUGCUGGAGUGCCGCAGUAAAUGACCCCGUCAGGGUAGCAGCACUCACAUCAUAGUGGGGCAGAGACUGAGCAAAGAGACGAACAGGGGUGUGUGUAGGUGUGUGUGUGUGUGUGUGUGUAGGUGUGUGUGUGUGCACGAGAACAAGUUGUGAUGAUAGCUCUUGAAUAAACAAGGGCUGCGUGGAGGACAGUGGUGGGAGGUGUCUUAAUUGGGUUGCUCUAAAAAGUACCACAGACCAGGAAGCUUAUAGGCAACAUAUUCUUACUUCUCAUAGUUCAGGAGCCUGAAGUCUGAGAUCCGGCUGCCAGUGUGGUCAGGUUCUGGUGGGAGCCCUCUUCCAGGUUGCAGACAGCCUACUUCUUAUGUCAUCACAUGUAGAAAGAGGCCAGGAGAGCUCUCUGCAGUCCUUAUUUAAGCACACCAAUUCCAUUCACGAGGCCUCUGCCCUUAUGAUCUCAUCACCUCCCAAAGGCCCCACUUCCUAAUAGCAUCCCAUGGAGGGGAGGGUGAGGAUUUCAAGGUAUGAAUUUGGGAGGGAUGAAGACAUUCGGUUCAUAAUAGAAGGCUGGGGCGGGAGUCUUGGGUUGUGUUUUCCCAAGGAGGUGAGAAGAGGAGACUGGAAAGGGGAGUGAGCCAACACCGGGUGCCUUAAUUAAAGGAUGCUGCAGCAGAGAAGUGGUCCAGGAUCCACCCAGGGAAUUCUGGGAAUCGGUGCAGAAGACGUUGCCUCUGAGUCAUCCCCUAGGCAGGGCCAGGAAACUGGGGUCCUUCCCUACCAGUUCCCCAUCUGUCAGUGGUUGAGAACUACUCUCAGGGCGUUUACCUCUGAGCUGUGCUGGCCAGCAUCCCAGCACAAUAUUUGCAGUAUUUGUGGCAUGCUUAUACUAAAAUUCAAAAGUAGCUGACAUUCCAAAUUGAACUGCCCUCCUGUAUUGUAUUAGGCGGCCCAGCUGCCCCUUUGAUGGGUCCAGCGGCACCUGUAGCCAGAGUCGGGUACCAGCAUCACAGAUAGUUGUGGAAGGGAGGGCGGAGCAGCUGGGCAAGUGACUUGGAAAGUCCCUGAGGGGCCAAAAAGGUCUUAGGGAGUAGAUGUCAGUGAAGACAAGGUCCCAAGGCUGGGAAGGAGCCAGCCUUUCACACAAGGAGGGGGAAUGAAGGUGGGGGCAGAGCCCUGAUUUCCAGGCAGCGCGAACAUCACAUGGAACAGGGAGUACGUGCUCUCUGUUGCCCUAGAUGAGGGUCCUGGUGUUUGGAAGUGGCCUUCGAGGUGGGGUCGCAGGGCUGGUGAUGAUCCUAAGGCUGUGUCGCACCUCAUGCUCGCCAGGCACUGUCUGUGUGUGGGGCAGGAUGCUUGCGUCUUGCAUGAUGCCACGUAACCUUCCUGACGGCCCUAGGAGGGAGGUGCUAGCAUCAGGCCCUUUUCCAAAACUGAGGAAACGAAGGCUUUGAGAGCAUAGGUGACCUGCUAGUGAGGGGUCCAGCCAAGAUUUGAACCCAGACAGCUCAAGAGUCCACUUAAUCCUCAAACCCAUCUAUCGCAGGUUGAAUUGUGUGCCCUGUGUCCAGAGCUAGAUUGACUCUAGACCCCCAGCACCUGUGAAUGGGAAACUGGAAAUAAGGCUUUUGCAGCUGUAAUGAAAUUAUAGUGAGGCAGGGAGUUCCCAUUGUGGCUCAGCAGUAACGAACCGGACUCGCAUCCACGAAGAUGCGGGUUUGAUCCCUGGCCUUGCUCAGUGGAGUAAGGCUCCAGCAUUCCAUGAGCUAUGGUGUAGGUUGCAGACGUAGCUCGGACCCACGUUGCCAUGGCUGUGGUGUAGCCCAGCAGCUGCAGCUCCAGUGUGACCCCUAGCCUGGAAACUUCCAUAUGCUGCAGGAGCAGCUAUAAAAAGCCAAAAAGAAAAAAACAUUAAAGUAAGGUAGUUUAGCAAGAUGAAUAAACCGUAGAGAUCUGUAGCACCCUAUACCUGUGGUUCCCAAUGAUGUAGUUUAUGUAUAAAAAUGUGUUAAGAGAGUAGAUCUUAUGUGACAUGUCUUACUGCAAAAAAAAUUUAAAAAAAAUUUAAAUGACAUUAUCCUGGAUUAGAAUGGGACCGAUAUCCAUGGAUUGAUGUCUUUAUAAGAGAAGAGAGGAAAGUUUGAAGAUACACACACACACACACACACACACACACGCACGCACGCAACGCACAUACGCGCGCACCUGCACAUGCACACACCGAAGAAAGAAAUAAUACUGUGUAAAGAAUACCAGGCAAAUAUUGUAUUUUAUGUUGCUACUGAUGCAAACAGCCCCAGACAUUGUUGGUGACCCUCAGAGGCUGGACGCAGCAAAGGACUCCCCCUGACAGCCUUUGGAAGGAUCACAGCCCUGUGGACACCUUGCUUUUGAACUUCUGGCCUCCGGGACAGUGAGAGAAUACCUUUCUGAUGUGCCACCCAGUUUGUGACACUUUGUGACAGCAGAACUGGAAAACUGAUACUGCAUCCCUUCUCAGCUUACCAAAGGGCAUCUGAAGGGGAGCCUUUAAGCAAAUUAAACAACUGCCCCAGGCAGGAGCCAGGCAGCCAAAUGGCUCACCUGGGGGCCUCAGGUGACAGAGGCACCCACUGCCCCCCUUUAAUGGGCCAGAAUGGUGUUCACAUUUCCCAGCCCAUUGGCAGUGACAUAGAGGGAGGAGCCAAGGCUGCAAUCACAACGAUAUACAGCUCAAGGCCAGUGCAAUGAUUAGCUGCCCACAGGAACAGUGCAACGUGCAUGAUAUUUGCCUGCCCAGGAAAGCCAAGUGCAAGUUCCUGCCCGCUCUCAUGACCCGGUUCCGCCAGCGCGGGAAGGGACAGGCCCCUCCAGCUCCUGCCCUCUGCUGCCACCAGGAUUUAACUCCUUCCUGUCCCCCAGGCUGUUGGACAUCGCACACAACUGUUCCAACGUGCAUUCAAGGGGGGUCAGUCUCUUUGAUGGGGCCCUGCCUUUUCUGGAGCUUUCCAACAAUCAAUGGAAGCAUGAUUCAUAGAAGUGCACAUGGCCCAUUUUUCAG